Molecule: non-coding RNA, 72 nt
Organism: Podarcis lilfordi (Lilford's wall lizard)
Lineage: Eukaryota; Metazoa; Chordata; Lepidosauria; Squamata; Lacertidae
Source: the annotation of a GenBank genome assembly
AGGGGUGUAUUUCAGUGGAAGAGCAUUUGCCUUGCAAGCAGAAGAUCCCAGGUUCAAUCCCCAGCAUCUCCA